UACGUAGGGGGCAAGCGGUUGUCCGGAUUUAUUGGGCGUAAAGAGCGUGUAGGCGGCCUGAAAGGUCAGCUGUGAAAACUCGAGGCUCAACCUCGAGACGUCGGUUGAAACCAUCUGGCUAGAGUCCGGAAGAGGAGUGUGGAAUUCCCGGUGUAGCGGUGAAAUGCGCAGAUAUCGGGAAGAACACCCGUGGCGAAGGCGGCACUCUGGGACGGUACUGACGCUGAGACGCGAAAGCGUGGGGAGCGAACAGG
RNAcentral lists this ribosomal RNA (254 nucleotides) under uncultured bacterium. RNAcentral's name for it is "partial 16S ribosomal RNA". It matches the Rfam family "Bacterial small subunit ribosomal RNA", at positions 524 to 776 of the family's 1533-position model. The record is from RNAcentral.